CCUACGGGUGGCAGCAGUGGGGGAUAUUGCACAAUGGGGGGAACCCUGAUGCAGCGACGCCGCGUGGGUGAAGGAGCGUUUCGGCGCGUAAAGCCCUAUCGGCAGGGAAGAAGAUGACGGUACCUGACCAAGAAGCCCCGGCUAACUACGUGCCAGCAGCCGCGGUAAUACGUAGGGGGCAAGCGUUAUCCGGAUUUACUGGGUGUAAAGGGAGCGUAGACGGCAGCGCAAGUCUGGAGUGAAAUCCCAUGGCUUAACCAUGGAACUGCUUUGGAAACUGUGCAGCUAGAGUGCAGGAGAGGUAAGCGGAAUUCCUAGUGUAGCGGUGAAAUGCGUAGAUAUUAGGAGGAACACCAGUGGCGAAGGCGGCUUACUGGACUGUAACUGACGUUGAGGCUCGAAAGCGUGGGGAGCAAACAGGAUUAGAUACCCGGGUAGUC
Molecule: ribosomal RNA, 440 nt
Filed under: uncultured bacterium
Lineage: Bacteria
Description: partial 16S ribosomal RNA
Rfam family: Bacterial small subunit ribosomal RNA
Source: RNAcentral